RNAcentral lists this ribosomal RNA (513 nucleotides) under bacterium enrichment culture clone ALO1_GLFRUDD03F3PS1. Its description in RNAcentral is "bacterial SSU rRNA". It matches the Rfam family "Bacterial small subunit ribosomal RNA", at positions 9 to 517 of the family's 1533-position model. The record is from RNAcentral.
GAGUUUGAUCUUGGCUCAGAUUGAACGCUGGCGGCAGGCCUAACACAUGCAAGUCGAGCGGAUGACGGGAGCUUGCUCCUUGAUUCAGCGGCGGACGGGUGAGUAAUGCCUAGGAAUCUGCCUGGUAGUGGGGGACAACGUUUCGAAAGGAACGCUAAUACCGCAUACGUCCUACGGGAGAAAGCAGGGGACCUUCGGGCCUUGCGCUAUCAGAUGAGCCUAGGUCGGAUUAGCUAGUUGGUGGGGUAAUGGCUCACCAAGGCGACGAUCCGUAACUGGUCUGAGAGGAUGAUCAGUCACACUGGAACUGAGACACGGUCCAGACUCCUACGGGAGGCAGCAGUGGGGAAUAUUGGACAAUAGGCGAAAGCCUGAUCCAGCCAUGCCGCGUGUGUGAAGAAGGUCUUCGGAUUGUAAAGCACUUUAAGUUGGGAGGAAGGGCAGUAAGUUAAUACCUUGCUGUUUUGACGUUACCGACAGAAUAAGCACCGGCUAACUCUGUGCCAGCAGCCG